This 478-nucleotide ribosomal RNA is filed under the name uncultured bacterium. Its description in RNAcentral is "partial 16S ribosomal RNA". It matches the Rfam family "Bacterial small subunit ribosomal RNA", at positions 28 to 523 of the family's 1533-position model. The record is from RNAcentral.
GACGAACGCUGGCGGCGUGCUUAACACAUGCAAGUCGAACGGUAAGGCCCUUCGGGGUACACGAGUGGCGAACGGGUGAGUAACACGUGGGUGAUCUGCCCUGCACUUCGGGAUAAGCCUGGGAAACUGGGUCUAAUACCGGAUAGGACCACUGCCUGCAUGGGUGGGGGUGGAAAGCUUUUGCGGUGUGGGAUGGGCCCGCGGCCUAUCAGCUUGGUGGUGGGGUGAUGGCCUACCAAGGCGACGACGGGUAGCCGGCCUGAGAGGGUGACCGGCCACACUGGGACUGAGAUACGGCCCAGACUCCUACGGGAGGCAGCAGUGGGGAAUAUUACACAAUGGGCGCAAGCCUGAUGCAGCGACGCCGCGUGAGGGAUGACGGCCUUCGGGUUGUAAACCUCUUUCAGCACCGACGAAGCGCAAGUGACGGUAGGUGCAGAAGAAGGACCGGCCAACUACGUGCCAGCCGCCGCCGUAA